Molecule: ribosomal RNA, 451 nt
Filed under: Parapanteles sp. 1 SY-2020
Lineage: Eukaryota; Metazoa; Arthropoda; Insecta; Hymenoptera; Braconidae
Description: partial large subunit ribosomal RNA
Source: RNAcentral
AAGAGUACGUGAAACCGUUCAGGGGUAAACCUGUGAAACCUAAAAGAUCGAAUGAGGAGAUUCAUCGUCAGUGUAUUCAGUAUUAAUGCAGGCUAUGAUGUGAUAAUAGAAUCCUUGUGGUCACUAAAUUAUACUUGCUUGUAUUAUUUUUGCUGGGUAUAUCGGCGUGCACUUCUCCUCUAGUAGAACGUCGCAACCCGUUAGAUGUUUAUCUAUGGCCUAAAUGGUAGCCUUUGAUAUUUUUAAUAUUGAAGACCUUUGGUGUCCUGAUAAACUGUCUGACGGUACACAUAAGAUAUCGAGCCGCAAUUAUUUGCGUUAGACUUGCCGCAAGUUAGGCUUUAUUCUAGUAGCGCGGAUCUAAUGCCGUCGCUGGUCAAAGUCUACUGUUAGCUGUGUAAUGUCUUUAACUGGCUUAUUUAUCGGUUAGCGAUGCUACUGCUUUGGGUAC